RNAcentral lists this ribosomal RNA (538 nucleotides) under uncultured bacterium. Its description in RNAcentral is "partial 16S ribosomal RNA". It matches the Rfam family "Bacterial small subunit ribosomal RNA", at positions 355 to 883 of the family's 1533-position model. The record is from RNAcentral.
UGGGGAAUUUUGGACAAUGGGCGAAAGCCUGAUCCAGCAAUGCCGCGUGUGUGAAGAAGGCCUUCGGGUUGUAAAGCACUUUUGUCCGGAAAGAAAUCCUUGGCUCUAAUACAGUCGGGGGAUGACGGUACCGGAAGAAUAAGCACCGGCUAACUACGUGCCAGCAGCCGCGGUAAUACGUAGGGUGCAAGCGUUAAUCGGAAUUACUGGGCGUAAAGCGUGCGCAGGCGGUUUGCUAAGACCGAUGUGAAAUCCCCGGGCUCAACCUGGGGAACUGCAUUGGCGACUGGCAGGCUAGAGUAUGGCAGAGGGGGGUAGAAUUCCACGUGUAGCAGUGAAAUGCGUAGAGAUGUGGAGGAAUACCGAUGGCGAAGGCAGCCCCCUGGGCCAAUACUGACGCUCAUGCACGAAAGCGUGGGGGAGCAAACAGGAUUAGAUACCCUGGUAGUCCAGCGCCCUAAACGAUGUCAACUAGUUGUUGGGGAUUCAUUUCCUUAGUAACGUAGCUAACGCGUGAAGUUGACCGCCUGGGGAGUAC